This 562-nucleotide ribosomal RNA is filed under the name uncultured fungus. RNAcentral's name for it is "eukaryotic LSU rRNA". It matches the Rfam family "Eukaryotic large subunit ribosomal RNA", at positions 24 to 664 of the family's 3401-position model. The record is from RNAcentral. Lineage: Eukaryota; Fungi.
CCCGCUGAACUUAAGCAUAUCACUAAGCGGAGGAGAAGAAACUAACAAGGAUUCCCCCAGUAACUGCGAGUGAACCGGGAACAGUCCAAACUUGUAAUCUUUGUCACGUUGACAACGAAUUGUAGUUUGAAGUCUAGAUGUGCGCGGCAGGCGCGGGCGCCCAACUAAUCCUUGAAUGGUUGACCCUGGAGGGUGAAAGUCCCGUACGGCGCCACGCCAGUCGUCUGCACUGGACCAAGAGUCGGGUUGUUUGGGAUUGCAGUCCAAAGCGGGUGGUAAACUCCAUCUAAGGCUAAAUAUUGGCGAGAGACCGAUAGCGAACAAGUACCGCGAGGGAAAAUUGAAAAGGACUUUGAAAGUAAAGUUAAAAGUGCGUGAAAUUGCUGACAGGGAAGCGAUUAGGUCGGCAGUGCCGGAUGUGUUCGCUCGCUCCGUCGCUUGACGUGACGUGCGAGUUUUGUUGCAUCCGGACAGCCACGCAUUUGGGAUGACACGCGUCGUCGCUGUUUGUCCCGAAUGCGCCCUGGCUGAGCGGGCCUAAACGACCCGUCUUGAAACACGG